Molecule: ribosomal RNA, 378 nt
Filed under: uncultured bacterium
Lineage: Bacteria
Description: bacterial SSU rRNA
Rfam family: Bacterial small subunit ribosomal RNA
Source: RNAcentral
AGACGGAGGGGGCGAGCGUUGUCCGGAGUCACUGGGCGUAAAGGGUCCGUAGGCGGUGGGGUAAGUGGCACGUGAAAGCCUCAGGCUCAACCUGAGCGAAGUCGUGCCAAACCGCCCCGCUGGAGGGCCGGAGAGGGGAGUGGAACUGCCGGAGUAGCGGUGAAAUGCGGAGAUAUCGGCAGGAACGCCGGUGGCGAAGGCGGCUCCCUGGACGGCUCCUGACGCUGAGGGACGAAAGCCAGGGGAGCGAACCGGAUGAGAUACCCGGGUAGUCUUGGACGUAAACGUUGGGCACUAGGUGUGGGGAGCAUCGACCCUUCCCGUGCCGCAGCUAACGCGUUAAGUGCCCCGCCUGGGGAGUACGGCCGCAAGGUUGAA